Molecule: ribosomal RNA, 478 nt
Filed under: uncultured bacterium
Lineage: Bacteria
Description: partial 16S ribosomal RNA
Rfam family: Bacterial small subunit ribosomal RNA
Source: RNAcentral
GACGAACGCUGGCGGCGUGCUUAUCACAUGCAAGUCGAACGGUAAGGCCCUUCGGGGUACACGAGUGGCGAACGGGUGAGUAACACGUGGGUGAGCUGCCCUGCACUUCGGGAUAAGCCUGGGAAACUGGGUCUAAUACCGGAUAGGACUCCUGGCUUCAUGGUUGGGGGUGGAAAGCUUUUGCGGUGUGGGAUGGGCCCGCGGCCUAUCAGCUUGUUGGUGGGGUGAUGGCCUACCAAGGCGACGACGGGUAGCCGGCCUGAGAGGGUGACCGGCCACACUGGGACUGAGAUACGGCCCAGACUCCUACGGGAGGCAGCAGUGGGGAAUAUUGCACAAUGGGCGCAAGCCUGAUGCAGCGACGCCGCGUGAGGGAUGACGGCCUUCGGGUUGUAAACCUCUUUCAGCACCGACGAAGCGCAAGUGACGGUAGGUGCAGAAGAAGGACCGGCCAACUACGUGCCAGCCGCCGCCGUAA